AGGAAUAUUGGUCAAUGGCCGAGAGGCUGAACCAGCCAAGUCGCGUGAGGGAUGAAGGUUCUAUGGAUCGUAAACCUCUUUUAUAAGGGAAUAAAGUGCGGGACGUGUCCCGUUUUGUAUGUACCUUAUGAAUAAGGAUCGGCUAACUCCGUGCCAGCAGCCGCGGUAAUACGGAGGAUCCGAGCGUUAUCCGGAUUUAUUGGGUUUAAAGGGUGCGUAGGCGGCCUUUUAAGUCAGCGGUGAAAGUCUGUGGCUCAACCAUAGAAUUGCCGUUGAAACUGGGGGGCUUGAGUAUGUUUGAGGCAGGCGGAAUGCGUGGUGUAGCGGUGAAAUGCAUAGAUAUCACGCAGAACCCCGAUUGCGAAGGCAGCCUGCCAAGCCAUUACUGACGCUGAUGCACGAAAGCGUGGGGAUCAAACAGGAUUAGAUACCCUGGUAGUCCACGCAGUAAACGAUGAUCACUAGCUGUUUGCGAUACACUGUAAGCGGCACAGCGAAAGCGUUAAGUGAUCCACCUGGGGAGUACGCCGGCAACGGUGAAACUCAAAGGAAUUGACGGGGGCCCGCACAAGCGGAGGAACAUGUGGUUUAAUUCGAUGAUACGCGAGGAACCUUACCCGGGUUUGAACGCAUUCGGACCGAGGUGGAAACACCUUUUCUAGCAAUAGCCGUUUGCGAGGUGCUGCAUGGUUGUCGUCAGCUCGUGCCGUGAGGUGUCGGCUUAAGUGCCAUAACGAGCGCAACCCUUGCCACUAGUUACUAACAGGUAAAGCUGAGGACUCUGGUGGGACUGCCAGCGUAAGCUGCGAGGAAGGCGGGGAUGACGUCAAAUCAGCACGGCCCUUACAUCCGGGGCGACACACGUGUUACAAUGGCGUGGACAAAGGGAGGCCACCUGGCGACAGGGAGCGAAUCCCCAAACCACGUCUCAGUUCGGAUCGGAGUCUGCAACCCGACUCCGUGAAGCUGGAUUCGCUAGUAAUCGCGCAUCAGCCAUGGCGCGGUGAAUACGUUCCCG
RNAcentral lists this ribosomal RNA (1018 nucleotides) under uncultured bacterium. RNAcentral describes it as "bacterial SSU rRNA". It matches the Rfam family "Bacterial small subunit ribosomal RNA", at positions 357 to 1376 of the family's 1533-position model. The record is from RNAcentral.